This 1661-nucleotide long non-coding RNA is filed under the name Pelobates cultripes (western spadefoot toad). The record is from RNAcentral. Lineage: Eukaryota; Metazoa; Chordata; Amphibia; Anura; Pelobatidae.
GGGAAGAUCGCAGCACUUGGAGCUGAGCCGUCGGGUAAGCAGGCUGACAGCCUGACAGGUACAGCUUUAGGUGAACUUGUGAAAUUUUAGCAGCAGGUUUGUGCAAACCGGUGCGAAACGGCUGAAUCCCACCACUGUGUAAACCCUCUGUGUUCAAGAGCAGGCUGCUUUCCUGUGUGAACCCUCUGUGUUCAAGAGCAGGCUGCUUUCCUGUGUGAACCCUCUGUGUUCCAGAGCAGGCUGCUUUCCUGUGUGAACCCUCUGUGUUCCAGAGCAGGCUGCUUUCCUGUGUGAACCCUCUGUGUUCCAGAGCAGGCUGCUUUCCUGUGUGAACCCUCUGUGUUCCAGAGCAGGCUGCUUGUGGUCAACAACCCUUCCCGACCAAACCUUGAUAAUAGCUAUGUCAGUAGUUCCACUACUGUACUGAAUGACUGAAAGGUAUAAUGUACUGUGACUUCCUUAAACAUGUUUGUACUAUUUCUUGAGGUCACUGUGUGCUGACUCUUUUUCUAAAGCUUAAACAAAAACAGCAAUAAAUCAGAAUGGUGCAAGUAAUUAUAAAAAUAAAUGUUAUCACCUUAAGGAAACUAUAAACAACGGUAUAUGUGCAGGAACACACAUGUAAUUCUGAUAUAAAAAAUGCCCAAAAUAGUAAAUAAAGAUGUAGGUGCGCAAGAAAUCUUUAAAGUGUCACUGCAUGGAAAGUGAUAUUAAGAAUAUAUAAAUAUCCCAGAGAUAUACACACUAAAUAUUAUAUGUGGGGAAUGCAUAGUUAAACACACUGUGAUAAAAACACAAUGAUCUUGUAUGGUACAAAAUAAGUUGUAUACUUGCACUCUCUUUAGGAAAUAGGUCUCAGUGAACUAAAAUACAUAAGCAACAAAACAAACCUAGUGCAUAGUGAUGACCCGAACGGUUCGCCGAACGGUUCACCACGGAUGGCGAACAUAAACUUUGACCCUGUACCUCACAGUCAGCAGACACAUUCCAGCCAAUCAGCAGCAGACCCUCCCUCCCAGACCCUCCCACCUCCUGGACAGCAUCCAUUUUACAUUCAUUGUGAAGCUGCAUUCUUAGUGAGCUGUCCGGGAGGUGGGAGGGUCUGGGAGGGAGGGUCUGCUGCUGAUUGGCUGGAAUGUGUCUGCUGACUGUGAGGUACAGGGUCAAAGUUUAUGUUUAUGUUCGCCGUCCGUGGCAAACCGUUCGGCUAACCGUUCAGGACAUCACUACUAGUGCAAUAUAGCCAGAAAAAAAUCUAUAUUAAAAUCAGUGCUCUUUGAAAAAAUACACUCACAAAAAGCUUGCCAAUGAACCUCAACAAAAAGUUGAUGAUGGUUAAAUUUCAGUCUGCCAUCACCAGCUUUUUUAGGCAUUUAACUAAUGAUGUUUAUCCUUCUUAGGUUUCCUAAGUUCUGCCAUCAAGUCUGUCAUGUGGUUUUCACUUUUCUUCAUCCAUGUCUUCCAAAUACAGGCUGGACUCCAUUAUGUUGUUGCCAUGUUCCUGACCAAUUUUCCCAGGAAAUGGGCUACCCAUUUGGUGUUUUUUACCUUUACGUACCUGUCAAAAAUAAGAAAUCUUGGAGAAAAAUAAAUAAAUGGACAGCUGAGACAACAGAGAUACAUUGUAGUAUUGCACUAUAUAUUUUAAUAUGAAAAUGGAC